RNAcentral lists this small RNA (1074 nucleotides) under Pan troglodytes (chimpanzee). Its description in RNAcentral is "retained intron". Lineage: Eukaryota; Metazoa; Chordata; Mammalia; Primates; Hominidae. The record is from RNAcentral.
AUGCUCGGAAUAACUUCCUGCAGCGACCAACAGGCUAAAGAGGGGGAAGGUCUGGAGGUUGGAAAGAGGACUGGAAUCUGAUUGGGGUUCCAACAAAUCUGUAACACCGCUGGGAACGACUGGGUCCCCUUUAGGUCCUUUAGGACAGCGUUUGAAAUCUUGCUUUCCCCUGCAGGGAUCCAGCACCGGCUCCUCCUCCGGCAACCACGGUGGGAGCGGCGGAGGAAAUGGACAUAAACCCGGGAACUCUGAGACGUCUCCUGGGAUGUUUAACUUUGACACUUUCUGGAAGAAUUUUAAAUCCAAGCUGGGUUUCAUCAACUGGGAUGCCAUAAACAAGAACCAGGUCCCGCCCCCCAGCACCCGAGCCCUCCUCUACUUCAGCCGACUCUGGGAGGAUUUCAAACAGAACACUCCUUUCCUCAACUGGAAAGCAAUUAUUGAGGGUGCGGACGCGUCAUCACUGCAGAAACGUGCAGGCAGAGCCGAUCAGAACUACAAUUACAACCAGCAUGCGUAUCCCACUGCCUAUGGUGGGCAGUACUCAGUCAAGACCCCUGCAAAGGGGGGAGUCUCACCUUCUUCCUCGGCUUCCCGAGUGCAACCUGGCCUGCUGCAGUGGGUGAAGUUUUGGUAGGUGAGUGUCAGAGUGAGCCGACCCAGGCCACAUCCUGGGAGUGGAGGCACAGUCACCCGGGGCAGGGCCAGGAUCUUGGUAUAUCCUCAGAUCUCAGUGGGCAGCGACAUGAAGUCAGGCAAUUUCUUGCAGCCACCACCGAGGCCCCGAAAAGCACUGGUCGUCAGGGAGUUCCUCCCCUUGGCCCCCAGCCUGUGCCAGCCCUGGCCCGGCUGCCACACCUCUGUUUCCUAGGCUGGGGACCCAGCUUGUCUCUCCUUGUUUCUUCCCACUGCACUGUGGUGCUUCAGUGGCCACCAGCCUCGUCAGAUACACCAGCAUCUUUCUGUACCUCCUCCCUUUGGUGACCUGAAGUCACUGUGACAGUUCUCCAGGAAGGAGGAGCUUCCUACUUUUGAGUUUCUCUGUGGAAAUAAAACAUGAAUCUUGUUUCCCUA